CCCCUGGGAGCGGAAUACCGGCGAGAAAUCGCCGACAAGACCGCAUGGGCUGGCCCCCUCAGCAAGAGAGGGUCAGCAAAGCUGGCUUUGUAGUGAAGGCGGCGCCCGGGGAUGAGUCCGCGGCCGAUUAGCUAGUUGGUGAGGUAAGGGCUCACCAAGGCGACGAUCGGUAGCUGGUCUGAGAGGACGAUCAGCCACACUGGGAUUGAGAACGGCCCAG
RNAcentral lists this ribosomal RNA (220 nucleotides) under uncultured bacterium. RNAcentral describes it as "partial 16S ribosomal RNA". It matches the Rfam family "Bacterial small subunit ribosomal RNA", at positions 129 to 334 of the family's 1533-position model. The record is from RNAcentral.